Long non-coding RNA from Tympanuchus pallidicinctus (lesser prairie-chicken), 1870 nucleotides. RefSeq lists it as uncharacterized. The record is from RefSeq and is a predicted model, not a curated record. The transcript is spliced from 2 exons. NCBI's taxonomy places the organism in Eukaryota, Metazoa, Chordata, Aves, Galliformes, Phasianidae.
CGAGAACACGUUGUGCAUUUUAUUUUCAGCACGUUUUGCUUUGAUAGUAUGGGCUCACAGGGUGAUGCUGUUACUCAUUUCUGUGGGAAAAAGUUUUUCGUCUUUACUGUUACCAAGGACGUAAUCCCGCUCCCCUUUAAAUGAAUACCUUGAAUAAAAAGUCCCCCCGGUGAGCAAAGCUUUUUUUCUUGGAAAAAGUCUAUUGAUGCUGACAGGUAAAAGACCUCGUCAAGGUGCCAGCCACACCGCUCAGCACUGCAAGGCUACCGAUGAAAGGUUAUCAGAAAGCAAAAACGACACCACACUUGCACUCGAAAACACUUUGAUACACCCACAGAAAUAACUACAAAAACAAAUAAUAGUAAUGUAGGCGCGUAUGGGAACGGCUGCGUCAGGGCCUGAACCUCUCAUUGAUCACUUGAAGCGAGCACAGAAUCAGCCACGGGAGCACAGGUGAAGGCAAUUCAGCUGUGCUGCUGGAAGGGGUGGAGCCUGGCUGCACCUCUCCCAGACCCAUUUAAGAGCUGGCUACGAGUAGGGAAGGUUUUCUUUCUGGAGGUCCCUCCUUUGCAGUUUUACGGUGAGCCCGGGACGUGGUUCAGAGUUUUGCUGAACUGAGAAGUGACGAAAGGGCAGGGACCGGGCCCUUCGUGUAGGAACUGUUGUGCAAAUUAGAUGGCAGAUGUGGGAGGGGGCUCGCGGGACGGCCUAUGCUGCUACUCUACUAUGGAGAGCUGUUUUGGCAAAAAAAAUCUGUAAGUGAGGGCAGUAACCAGCCUCUGCUAUGAUAGAAAGACAGUCCUGAAAGACUGAACGGAAGGAUUUGUGGUCAUCGGGGUGCAAAAGUGGAAAUUAGAAGUGCAAACGAGGCUACUCUGCAACAAAGCUAAGACUGUUUUCUAAGCUCUACGGCGUAACAAUUUUCCAGUCCUGCUUCAUACAGAUAACACAAGUGAAGCAAGAUGCAGAAUGAUAAACGUUAUUUGAUUCCUCUAAGGAAAAAACGGCUUGAAAAGCAUGAUGUGAAGCACCAGACCUCAAAGCACCACAGCAGUGCCAGUCUUCGCUUACAAAUUAAUCAGCAACUCCUCUUGCUCCCUCCCAAAUAAAAGGCGUUUACGUAACCCUUGCAUAACCUGCAGGGCAGAACAACACAGCAGCUGCCUCCAGUUCAGAAGCAGACAGCAGUACUCAGAACUCAGAGCGGUACGGCUCACUGCUUGGUCUGCGAACCAGCGAAGCGCCUCUCCUUACCUUCCUUCACGACGGUACAGCAAUUGCAGAAGUCAUGCGUCUCCACCAGGGUGUUACUUGUCUGCUUUCUUUUUCUUUGUGCUUAGUCUCUUCAGUGUUUUCAGGGGGAGUGACAGCAGAGGGGUUUUGUCAUCUGCUGCUGCCCGUGACCCGCGCAAGGUUCCACAAGCGUAACAGCUAAGCAGAGAAACGUCCUGUGUACUUGAUGGAAUAGAAAGGUACCGAUGAAGAGUCACACCUGAUCGUUGUGUUAAAUAUAUACUUACACUUGUAUUUAAGUGUACUUGUGUGAACGGCCACGCUAGUUCGGCUCCUCGUAUCUGCUGUGCUUUUGGUCUGUGGCAGACCAGUCGUGAGGUGCCGUUCAUCGAAAGAACUUUAAAAGCUUUAAGUUCAAGGAAGGCAGCGACCUGGAGCAAAUGCCCCCCUCCACCUCUAAAAGAGAAAACAAAUUACUGAGGAGGUGAAUAAAGAAAGGAUGCUGUUUUAUAGUAGGGCGUUAUCCACUAAAAUCCACUUUUGCUGCAACGAACUCCUGUUUCAGACUCAAAGGUAUCAAUAAAAAGCUAUUUCUGAAAUUACUUCAAUAUUUGCGUAUCUAAAAAUAAAAAUAAAA